GAUGAACGCUGGCGGCGUGCCUAAUACAUGCAAGUCGAGCGAACAGACGAGGAGCUUGCUCCUCUGACGUUAGCGGCGGACGGGUGAGUAACACGUGGAUAACCUACCUAUAAGACUGGGAUCACUUCGGGAAACCGGAUCUAAUACCGGAUAAUAUAUUGCACCGCAUUGUUCAAUAGUGAAAGACGGCUUUGCUGUCACUUAUAGAUGGAUCCGCGCCGCGUUAGCUAGUUGGUAAUGUAACGGCUUACCAAGGCAACGAUGCGUAGCCGACCUGAGAGGGUGAUCGGCCACGCUGGAAAUCAGACACGGUCCAGACUAGUACGGGAGGCAGCAGUAGGGGAUCGUACGAAAUGGGAGAAAGCCUGACGGGGCGACGCCGCGUGAGUGAUGAAGGUCUUCGGAUAGUAAAACUCUGUUAUUAGGGAAGAACAAAUGUGUAAGUAACUAUGCACGUCUUGACGGUACCUAAUAAGAAAGCCCCGGCUAACUA
This 493-nucleotide ribosomal RNA is filed under the name uncultured bacterium. RNAcentral describes it as "partial 16S ribosomal RNA". It matches the Rfam family "Bacterial small subunit ribosomal RNA", at positions 28 to 503 of the family's 1533-position model. The record is from RNAcentral.